AAUAAAGCUGUGAAGGAAAGAGUAGCACGUGUAGCAUUUAAAGAGAGCCGGGGUAGGUGAAAGCCGGUAAUGUAAAGCGUGUGAAGAUGGCUCUGGAGCUUGUAUGUUGAAGUUUAGUAGGCAUACACGGUUUAUCCGUUAUCUUAAGGUCACUGACCUUACAAGGCCUAAGUCGCGAGGCUUAGGUGAAUUAGGGUGGUAACGCGGCACCUCGCCCCUAAA
RNAcentral lists this non-coding RNA (222 nucleotides) under Caloramator australicus. Its description in RNAcentral is "T-box sequence". It matches the Rfam family "T-box leader". From Rfam's summary of the family: Uncharged tRNA acts as the effector for transcription antitermination of genes in the T-box leader family. T-boxes are found upstream of many aminoacyl-tRNA synthetase genes and some amino acid biosynthetic genes usually in Gram-positive bacteria. The anticodon of a specific tRNA base pairs to a specifier sequence within the T-box motif, and the NCCA acceptor tail of the tRNA base pairs to a conserved bulge in the T-box antiterminator hairpin. The record is from RNAcentral. Lineage: Bacteria; Bacillati; Bacillota; Clostridia; Eubacteriales; Clostridiaceae.